AUGGCCUCGCCGGCGAAGCGCCCGAAGCACUCGUCGCCGGGGAAGCACCAGGAGAUGCCGCCGCCCCCGGAGGAAGGCCCCGCGGAGGAUCCCCGCGUGCUCCUCCGCCGCCGCUGGGAGUUCGCCUCCGUUCUCCACUUCCUCCAGGUCUUCGAGCCGGUGAUCGAGGCGAACCUGGGGCUCUCGGCCGACGAGAUCGAGACGGCGCUCAUCACCAACAACGAGGACCUCGCUCGCAUCCACAUUGCCCUUUUGAAGGGAAUACCACCAGUUAACAAAAAACUCAAACUCAAUGUUGAUGAUGGAUGGGUGAUAGCAACUGCCAAGAAACUAUCCGACUGGUGGUCAUGGGUCGCUGAAGGGGCAAACCCGUUCGAAAAAAAUCGUGGUAAGGAAGUUGAGACGUUUAAGGAGCAGGAUCCAGUGAACCGUUUAUUUAUACUCAAAGCGCUUUGUGAAGUUCGCUUAGAGCAAAAUGAUGCAGUAUGCUACAUAACUGAUGAAAUGAAGAAAGGAGUUAGUAUUGGCAACUUUAGGAAAGAUAAGUUAGGGAGUGCUAGUGAUGGAGCUAUAUACUGGUAUGUUGGGGACUCAACUAUUGGACAUAGAUUAUACAAAGAAGAUGUAUUGGUUGGUUUUAAGAAUAACUGGAAGGGGAAGGAUGGCCGUUUGACAAAACCAGUUACCAAUAUUCAGUGGGAAACAGUUGCAACUAACCUUAAUGAGUUUCUUGAGAUAUCAGAGAAGUUAUGCAGCAAAGGUCGAUCUGAAGCUACCAUUGGGGAGCAUCUUAAGGAAAAUAUUGUUCCAGCUGUGGAGAAGUUCCAGAAGAAGAAAGAGAGGGACUUGAAACGUCGGCAGCAGAAGAAUGAGCGUUUGGAGCGUUUAGCUUUUGCUAAUGUUUUCCAAACCCGUUCAUUGCGCGAACGUAAAGCUGUCAGCUACGAUUACUCUGAUUAUGAUCGUCGCAUAAACGAGGCAAUAAAAGCUACAGCGAAAGGAAAGGAAGCUGAUUCACGCAAGGAGGCGGCGAAAAAGGAAAAGCAAGUUCCUCAUCAGGCAGACAACAAAACUGAUAUAGGUGCUGACAUCGAGCAUAAUGAAGACAGAGAACAGGAGGAUGGCAAGGAGGACCUAGACGAUCUUAGUUCUGGCGACGAUGAAGUCUCAGACUAUGAUGACAAGGAUGACGGCUCCUCCAGCAGCGAUGGAGACACUGAUGCUUCUGACUCCCACGAGAGCAACUCGGAUGAGGAGGUUAUUGUACCACGCAAGAGGACCCGCCUUGCUGCCCGGGCUCUUGCUAGCAAGCAGUUUCGACCAGGGGUUCGUCGGAGUCGAAGAAACAUGAAAGGUUCUGAUGAAGAGAUGGUGCACCCAGGGGAGGUGACUCCUGAAGCUAUGACAAAGAAAACAACGAGGCAAAGACCGACGCCCAUCUCCAAGCAGUUCUCUAUGUCAGGCUCUGAAGAUGGCUCUGAAGAAGAUCAUCAUUCAGAGUCAGCUGCAGAUUCCGAGGAGGAACCUGAAGAUGGCUCCAAAGAUGAUCAUCAUUCAGAGUCGGCUGCAGAUUCUGAGGAGGAACCUGAAGAUGGCUCCAAAGAUGAUCAUCAUUCAGAGUCAGCUGCAGAUUCCGAGGAGGAACCUGAAGAUGGCUCCAAAGAUGAUCAUAAUUCAGAGUCAGCUGCGGAUUCUGAGGAGGAACCUGAAGAUGGCUCCAAAGAUGAUCAUCAUUCAGAGUCAGCUGCAGAUUCUGAGGAGGAAUCUGACUCUGAGUCGUCUUAG
RNAcentral lists this ribosomal RNA (1785 nucleotides) under Triticum aestivum (bread wheat). Its description in RNAcentral is "partial small subunit ribosomal RNA". The record is from RNAcentral. Lineage: Eukaryota; Viridiplantae; Streptophyta; Magnoliopsida; Poales; Poaceae.